Molecule: ribosomal RNA, 468 nt
Filed under: uncultured bacterium
Lineage: Bacteria
Description: partial 16S ribosomal RNA
Rfam family: Bacterial small subunit ribosomal RNA
Source: RNAcentral
GACGAACGCUGGCGGCGUGCUUAACACAUGCAAGUCGAACGGAAAGGCCCUGCUUUUGUGGGGUGCUCGAGUGGCGAACGGGUGAGUAACACGUGAGUAUCCUGCCCUUGACUUUGGGAUAACUUCAGGAAACUGGGGCUAAUACCGGCUAGGAGCUCCUGCUGCUUGGGGGGGGUUGGAAAGUUUCGGCGGUUGGGGAUGGACUCGCGGCUUACCAGCUUGUUGGUGGGGUAGUGGCUUACCAAGGCUUUGACGGGUAGCCGGCCUGAGAGGGUGACCGGCCACAUUGGGACUGAGAGACGGCCCAGACUCCUACGGGAGGCAGCAGUGGGGAAUAUUGCACAAUGGGCGGAAGCCUGAUGCAGCAACGCCGCGUGCGGGAUGACGGCCUUCGGGUUGUAAACCGCUUUCGCCUGUGACGAAGCGUGAGUGACGGUAAUGGGUAAAGAAGCACCGGCUAACUACGUG